UACGAAGGGGGCUAGCGUUGUUCGGAAUUACUGGGCGUAAAGAGCGCGUAGGCGGCUACGUAAGUCAGGGGUGAAAUCCCGGGGCUCAACCCCGGAACUGCCUUUGAUACUGGUGGUCUUGAGUUCGAGAGAGGUGAGUGGAAUUCCGAGUGUAGAGGUGAAAUUCGUAGAUAUUCGGAGGAACACCAGUGGCGAAGGCGGCUCACUGGCUCGAUACUGACGCUGAGGUGCGAAAGCGUGGGGAGCAAACAGG
Molecule: unclassified non-coding RNA, 253 nt
Filed under: uncultured Alphaproteobacteria bacterium
Lineage: Bacteria; Pseudomonadati; Pseudomonadota; Alphaproteobacteria
Description: contains 16S-23S intergenic spacer region
Rfam family: Bacterial small subunit ribosomal RNA
Source: RNAcentral